RNAcentral lists this long non-coding RNA (776 nucleotides) under Capsicum annuum. RNAcentral describes it as "long non-coding RNA (CANN_LNC002049)". Lineage: Eukaryota; Viridiplantae; Streptophyta; Magnoliopsida; Solanales; Solanaceae. The record is from RNAcentral.
CUACCAUAUCCCUCUGGAAGAUGUUUACUCCGUUCUUGUCAAGCAGUGGUACAACUCUACAACUUUUAAAAGCAUAAUAUGUUUUGACUGAUAGGGUUUGUGCUCUCAAGACUGAAAGUUGUGGUCCUAGCACUCUCUCUUCUCCUAAGUCAAGAAACUUCUCUUCUCUUAAUCUUAAUUCAUUUUCUGUUCCCUGAGAUGUUUCUGAUCGUUUGAAUAACAUUGAUGCAAGACUAAAUGGUCUCACAGAUCUUGUUCUUGGCACUCAUUUUCAGAUGGAGAAAAUUUGGGAGUCUCAAAGAAAACUAGUGCUGACGUUGGUUUCAUGCAUAUCAAAUUGAAUCAAGUAAUUCAUGAGGCCAUUAAACUUGCUACUAAGAUUCGCCCUAGUACUGAUGCUAUCUCCACUGUGAUUACUACUCAGUUCACAAACCUGAAGGAUGCCACAAUAAAAAACUAGGCUUAUUUUCUUUGUCUCGGAGAAUGCUAAAUCCCCUCUACAUGUUUCUUAUUCCCGACCCUUGUGUUGCUCGUUUAAGAUAACUUUUUUGGUUUUGGUCCUGUAAUUAAGCAUAAGCUCACUGUUGCUACGUUACUUGCAUGUUUUGCUAGUUGUUCUCUAUUUAUUUUGCAUACUCUGUUAUUCUUCCUUUCUGAUAGAUGUCAAAGGAGAAAAAAUAGAAAACUUAUUUACAGGUAUAAACACAAGUCGAAUAGUUCGGCUAUCUAGGGGGGACUACUCAGGGGGGAGUUAAAAUGGGGGAAGUGGCUACACC